Molecule: ribosomal RNA, 301 nt
Filed under: uncultured bacterium
Lineage: Bacteria
Description: partial 16S ribosomal RNA
Rfam family: Bacterial small subunit ribosomal RNA
Source: RNAcentral
CAGCCGCCGCGGUAAUACGUAGGUGGCAAGCGUUGUCCGGAAUUAUUGGGCGUAAAGGGCUCGCAGGCGGUUUCUUAAGUCUGAUGUGAAAGCCCCCGGCUCAACCGGGGAGGGUCAUUGGAAACUGGGAAACUUGAGUGCAGAAGAGGAGAGCGGAAUUCCACGUGUAGCGGUGAAAUGCGUAGAGAUGUGGAGGAACACCAGUGGCGAAGGCGACUCUCUGGUCUGUAACUGACGCUGAGGAGCGAAAGCGUGGGGAGCGAACGGGAUUAGAUACCCCCGUAGUCCCUGUCUCUUAUAC